UGUAUUUAUUAGAUUAAAAACCAAUGCCCUUCGGGGCUCUCUGGUGAUUCAUAAUAACUUCUCGAAUCGCACGGCCUUGCGCCGGCGAUGGUUCAUUCAAAUUUCUGCCCUAUCAACUUUCGACGGCUGGGUCUUGGCCAGCCGUGGUGACAACGGGUAACGGAGGGUUAGGGCUCGACCCCGGAGAAGGAGCCUGAGAAACGGCUACUACAUCCAAGGAAGGCAGCAGGCGCGCAAAUUACCCAAUCCCGACACGGGGAGGUAGUGACAAUAAAUACUGAUACAGGGCUCUUUCGGGUCUUGUAAUUGGAAUGAGUACAAUUUAAAUCCCUUAACGAGGAACAAUUGGAGGGCAAGUCUGGUGCCAGCAGCCGCGGUAAUUCCAGCUCCAAUAGCGUAUAUUAAAGUUGUUGAGGUUAAAAAGUUCGUAGUUGAACCUUGGGCCUAGCCGGCCGGUCCGCCUCACCGCGUGCACUGGCUCGGCUGGGUCUUUCCUUCUGGAGAACCGCAUGCCCUUCACUGGGUGUGCCGGGGAACCAGG
Molecule: ribosomal RNA, 541 nt
Filed under: uncultured eukaryote
Lineage: Eukaryota
Description: SSU rRNA
Rfam family: Eukaryotic small subunit ribosomal RNA
Source: RNAcentral